This 492-nucleotide ribosomal RNA is filed under the name uncultured bacterium. Its description in RNAcentral is "partial 16S ribosomal RNA". It matches the Rfam family "Bacterial small subunit ribosomal RNA", at positions 28 to 507 of the family's 1533-position model. The record is from RNAcentral.
GACGAACGCUGGCGGCGUGCUUAACACAUGCAAGUGGAGCGACGAACCAGGGCUUGCCCUGGGGCAGAGCCGCGAACGGGUGAGUAACACGUGGGUAACGUGCCCCGAUGACUGGGACAACCCGGGGAAACCCGGGCUAAUACCGGAUGUGCCCCCUCACAUCAGUGAGGUGUGUAAAGGAAGCUUCGGCCUCCGCAUCGGGAUCGGCCCGCGGCCCAUUAGCUUGUUGGUGAGGUAACGGCUCACCAAGGCUGCGAUGGGUAGCUGGUCUGAGAGGACGAUCAGCCACACUGGGACUGAGACACGGCCCAGACUCCUACGGGAGGCAGCAGUGGGGAAUCUUGCGCAAUGCGCGAAAGCGUGACGCAGCAACGCCGCGUGGGGGAAGACGGCCUUCGGGUUGUAAACCCCUUUCAGUUGGGACGAAGGUCGGGCGGUUAACAGCCGUUCCGGCUGACGGUGCCUUCACAAGAAGCCCCGGCUAACUACGUG